Molecule: ribosomal RNA, 710 nt
Filed under: Alteromonas sp. MOLA 417
Lineage: Bacteria; Pseudomonadati; Pseudomonadota; Gammaproteobacteria; Alteromonadales; Alteromonadaceae
Description: bacterial SSU rRNA
Rfam family: Bacterial small subunit ribosomal RNA
Source: RNAcentral
GAUGACCGAGUGCGGACGGGUGAGUAAUGCUUGGGAACUUGCCUUUGCGAGGGGGAUAACAGUUGGAAACGACUGCUAAUACCGCAUAAUGUCUUCGGACCAAACGGGGCUUCGGCUCCCGGCGCAAAGAGAGGCCCAAGUGAGAUUAGCUAGUUGGUAAGGUAACGGCUUACCAAGGCGACGAUCUCUAGCUGUUCUGAGAGGAAGAUCAGCCACACUGGGACUGAGACACGGCCCAGACUCCUACGGGAGGCAGCAGUGGGGAAUAUUGCACAAUGGGGGAAACCCUGAUGCAGCCAUGCCGCGUGUGUGAAGAAGGCCUUCGGGUUGUAAAGCACUUUCAGUUGUGAGGAAAAGUUAGUAGUUAAUACCUGCUAGCCGUGACGUUAACAACAGAAGAAGCACCGGCUAACUCCGUGCCAGCAGCCGCGGUAAUACGGAGGGUGCGAGCGUUAAUCGGAAUUACUGGGCGUAAAGCGCACGCAGGCGGUUUGUUAAGCUAGAUGUGAAAGCCCCGGGCUCAACCUGGGAUGGUCAUUUAGAACUGGCAGACUAGAGUCUUGGAGAGGGGAGUGGAAUUCCAGGUGUAGCGGUGAAAUGCGUAGAUAUCUGGAGGAACAUCCGUGGCGAAGGCGACUCCCUGGCCAAAGACUGACGCUCAUGUGCGAAAGUGUGGGUACGCGAACAGGCUUAGAUACCCUGGUAGUCCA